GACGAACGCUGGCGGCGUGCUUAACACAUGCAAGUCGAACGAUGAAAGCUGGAGCUUGCUCCGGCUGGAUUAGUGGCGAACGGGUGAGUAACACGUGAGUAACCUGCCCUUGACUCUGGGAUAACCGCCGGAAACGGUGGCUAAUACCGGAUACGAGCUUCAGUCGCAUGACUAGGAGCUGGAAAGAAUUUCGGUCAAGGAUGGACUCGCGGCCUAUCAGCUAGUUGGUGAGGUAACGGCCCACCAAGGCGACGACGGGUAGCCGGCCUGAGAGGGUGACCGGCCACACUGGGACUGAGACACGGCCCAGACUCCUACGGGAGGCAGCAGUGGGGAAUAUUGCACAAUGGGCGAAAGCCUGAUGCAGCAACGCCGCGUGAGGGACGACGGCCUUCGGGUUGUAAACCUCUUUUAGUAGGGAAGAAGCGAAA
This 431-nucleotide ribosomal RNA is filed under the name Microbacteriaceae bacterium Ellin7214. RNAcentral's name for it is "bacterial SSU rRNA". It matches the Rfam family "Bacterial small subunit ribosomal RNA", at positions 28 to 455 of the family's 1533-position model. The record is from RNAcentral. Lineage: Bacteria; Bacillati; Actinomycetota; Actinomycetes; Micrococcales; Microbacteriaceae.